UGAACGCUAGCGACAGCCGUAACACAUGCAAGUCGAGGGGCAGCACAAGGAGCAAUCUGAGGUGGCGACCGGCGCACGGGUGAGUAACACGUAUGCAACCUGCCUGUAAGCGGGGAAUAACCCGUUGAAAGACGGACUAAUACCGCAUAAUACUAAAUUAACUGCAUGGUAAUUUAUUUAAACAUUUAUGGCUUACAGAUGGGCAUGCGCAUGAUUAGCUAGUUGGAGAGGUAACGGCUCCCCAAGGCAACGAUCAUUAGGGGUUCUGAGAGGAAGGUCCCCCACACUGGUACUGAGACACGGACCAGACUCCUACGGGAGGCAGCAGUGAGGAAUAUUGGUCAAUGGACGAGAGUCUGAACCAGCCAAGUCGCGUGCAGGAAGAAUGUCCUAAUGGAUUGUAAACUGCUUUUGCAGGGGAAUAAAGUGCAUCACGUGUGAUGUUUUGUAUGUACUCUGCGAAUAAGGAUCGGCUAACUCCGUGCCAGCAGCGGC
Molecule: ribosomal RNA, 495 nt
Filed under: uncultured bacterium
Lineage: Bacteria
Description: bacterial SSU rRNA
Rfam family: Bacterial small subunit ribosomal RNA
Source: RNAcentral